UACGGGGGGUGCGAGCGUUGUCCGGAAUCACUGGGCGUAAAGGGCGCGUAGGUGGUUUGAUAAGGGUGUGGUGAAAGUCCGGGGCUCAACCCCGGAUCUGCCAUGCCGACUGUCAAACUCGAGGGCUGUAGAGGCAGACGGAAUUCCGGGUGUAGCGGUGGAAUGCGUAGAGAUCCGGAGGAAGACCGGUGGCGAAGGCGGUCUGCUGGGCAGUUUCUGACACUGAGGAGCGAAAGCCAGGGGAGCAAACGGG
This 253-nucleotide ribosomal RNA is filed under the name uncultured bacterium. Its description in RNAcentral is "partial 16S ribosomal RNA". It matches the Rfam family "Bacterial small subunit ribosomal RNA", at positions 524 to 776 of the family's 1533-position model. The record is from RNAcentral.